AUGUUCCCAUGGCUUGGGCCUCGCCUCUUCCUAUCCUUCGUCAUCAUCUCCACGAUGCCGACACCAUUGCUUGCCGCAGCCUGCGAACCCAAGCGAUGCGGCAACGUGAGCAUCUCAGCCCCGUUCGGGGUCAUCUCGGGUUCUGAGGAGAACAGGUGUGCCCAGCUUGGGUUCCAGGUCCACUGCUCCAACGGAGUCCCGUACCUCGGCUACUAUGAGCCCGAGCACGGGCUACAGAUCCUGGACAUCUUCUACAUCAACGGUUCCUUGCUAGUCUCUGACGUCCACAAACUCAGAGGCUUCAAUCUCUCUGACGAGAAUGGCUGCCAUGUCCCGAAGGCAAACACGGCGACCAAAAUCGGGCAUCCAUUCUCAGUAAGCCCCCUGAAUCAGAACCUCGUCUUCUACAACUGCACCAGGGCUCUGGCGACCCGAGCAGGGCUGGUGGACACAGUCUGCCAGAACAACACGUUUGUCCGCGCGGCAGGGCGUUAUAACGUGUCGGGCAUGAUAGACGGUGGCUACGCUUUGGAGGGAUGCAGCGCCACCGUUGUGCCGGUGCUGGGGCCGUCUGUAGAUGUGAACGCCAGCGACUACGAGGAACUCAUCAGCGAUGGCUUCCUCAUGACAUGGCAGCCGCCAAGUGCCGGUAGUGGUAGCAAGAAGCGAUGGCACAAGAUUAUGCUAAUAGGUAUGACAUCAGCAGCUGCAACCUUUCUCUUUGCAUGUCUUUAUGCGCUGAUAUGGUAUAGAAAGGGGAAGAGGUUAUGGUUUCUCCUUUCCGAGACGACUAAAAGCAACACUGAAAAGAAUUAUGAGGCCAUGAUAGCGUCCUAUGGAUCCCUAGCUCCGAAAAGAUACAUGUACUCAGAGAUAAUGAAGAUAAUGUCUUCUCACGAUGACCAGCUUGGAAAAGGAGGUUUCGGUGUCGUUUUCAAAGGAAGACUACACGAUGGUCGUCUGGUUGCUGUUAAAUUCUUGCAUGACUGCAAAGGAAACGGGGAUGAGUUUGUGAAUGAAGUUAUGAGCAUUGGAAGGACCUCUCAUGUUAAUGUUGUUAGUCUAUUUGGGUUUUGUUUGGAGGGAUCAAAACGUGCUCUUAUAUAUGAGUACAUGCCCAACGGUUCCUUGGAUAAGUACAUUUAUUCAGAGAAGUCCAAAGAAAUUUUAGGAUGGGAGAGGCUCUAUGCGAUAGCAAUUGGGAUUGCUCGUGGCCUCGAAUACUUGCAUCAUAGUUGUAAUACACGUAUCGUCCAUUUUGAUAUCAAGCCCCAAAAUAUCCUUCUAGACAAAGAUUUUAGCCCGAAGAUUGCUGAUUUUGGUCUAGCUAAAUUGUGUCAUACAAAGGAGAGCAAGCUUUCAAUGACUGGAGCUAGAGGAACAAUUGGAUUUAUCGCUCCAGAAGUUCACUAUCGGACCUUCGGGGUGGUUUCAACAAAGUCGGAUGUUUAUAGUUAUGGAAUGAUGCUGCUGGAGAUGGUUGGAGGUAGGAGAAACGUAAAAUCAAUUGUUGCAAAAUCCAGUGAAAAGUAUUUUCCAGAUUGGAUUUAUGACCACUUUGCGCAAGAUGAGGGAUUACAAGCAUGUGAAGUUACAAGAGAAAUUGAGGAGAUCACGAGAAAGAUGAUCAUAAUAGGCUUGUGGUGCAUACAAGUGUUACCUAUGUAUCGACCUACUAUAACAAGUUCUAGAAAUGUUUGA
This 1701-nucleotide ribosomal RNA is filed under the name Triticum aestivum (bread wheat). Its description in RNAcentral is "partial small subunit ribosomal RNA". Lineage: Eukaryota; Viridiplantae; Streptophyta; Magnoliopsida; Poales; Poaceae. The record is from RNAcentral.